This 463-nucleotide ribosomal RNA is filed under the name uncultured bacterium. Its description in RNAcentral is "partial 16S ribosomal RNA". It matches the Rfam family "Bacterial small subunit ribosomal RNA", at positions 28 to 507 of the family's 1533-position model. The record is from RNAcentral.
GAUGAACGCUGACAGCAUGCUUAACACAUGCAAGUCGAUGGGGAAGUGGUGCUUGCCCCAUGGCAACCAUGGCGGACGGGUGAGUAACGCGUAAGGGACUUACCUGCAGGACUGGGAUAACAGGGGGAAACUCCUGACAAGACCGGAUAAUGUCAUGGAGCUGCAUGGCUUUAUGAUGAAAGGAGACGCCUGCGGAGAGCCUUGCGUCCUAUUAGCUAGUUGGUGAGGUAAUGGCUCACCAAGGCGAAGAUAGGUAGCCGGCCUGAGAGGGUGGACGGCCACAAGGGGACUGAGAUACGGCACUUACUCCUACGGGAGGCAGCAGUGGGGAAUAGUGGACAAUGGGGGCAACCCUGAUCCAGCAAUUCUGUGUGCACGAAGAAGGUUUUCGGAGUGUAAAGUGCUUUCAGCAGGGAAGAAGUAAGUGACGGUACCUGCAGAAGAAGCGACGGCUAAAUACGUG